This 368-nucleotide ribosomal RNA is filed under the name uncultured organism. RNAcentral describes it as "bacterial SSU rRNA". It matches the Rfam family "Bacterial small subunit ribosomal RNA", at positions 526 to 896 of the family's 1533-position model. The record is from RNAcentral.
CGUAGGUGGCAAGCGUUGUCCGGAUUUAUUGGGUUUAAAGGGUGCGUAGGCGGUUUCUAAGUCAGCAGUGAAAUACGGCAGCUCAACUGUCGAGGUGCUGUUGAUACUGGGGAACUUGAGUACUGAUGAGGUAGGCGGAAUGGACGGUGUAGCGGUGAAAUGCUUAGAGAUCGUCCAGAACACCGAUAGCGAAGGCAGCUUACUAAGGAGUAACUGACGCUGAGGCACGAAAGUGUGGGGGAUCAAACAGGAUUAGAUACCCUGGUAGUCCACACUGUAAACGAUGAUUACUCGAUGCGUGCGAUACACAGCACGCGUCUUAGCAAAAGCGAUAAGUAAUCCACCUGGGGAGUACGCCGGCAACGGUG